AAUAGAUACCCGGGUAGUCCACGCCGUAAACGUUGGGCGCUAGAUGUGGGGGACCAUUCCACGGUUUCCGUGUCGCAGCUAACGCAUUAAGCGCCCCGCCUGGGGAGUACGGCCGCAAGGCUAAAACUCAAAGGAAUUGACGGGGGCCCGCACAAGCGGCGGAGCAUGCGGAUUAAUUCGAUGCAACGCGAAGAACCUUACCAAGGCUUGACAUAUACGAGAACGCUCUAGAAAUAGAGAACUCUUUGGACACUCGUAUACAGGUGGUGCAUGGUUGUCGUCAGCUCGUGUCGUGAGAUGUUGGGUUAAGUCCCGCAACGAGCGCAACCCUGUUCUAUGUUGCCAGCGGUUCGGCCGGGAACUCAUAGGAGACUGCCGGGGUCAACUCGGAGGAAGGUGGGGAUGACGUCAAAUCAUCAUGCCCCUUAUGUCUUGGGCUUCACGCAUGCUACAAUGGCCGGUACAAAGGGCUGCAAUACCGCAAGUGAGCGAAUCCAAAAGCCGGUCUCAGUUCGGAUUGAGGU
This 524-nucleotide ribosomal RNA is filed under the name uncultured bacterium. RNAcentral describes it as "bacterial SSU rRNA". It matches the Rfam family "Bacterial small subunit ribosomal RNA", at positions 777 to 1304 of the family's 1533-position model. The record is from RNAcentral.